GUCUCUUUGUUAACCAUAAAUAAAGAGUUGGGCCUGCUCGGUGAACAAAUUGUUUUAACAGCUGCGGUAUUUUAACUGUACUAAGGUAGCAUAAUAAUUUGCCUUAUAAUUUGAGGCUAGAAUGAAUGGUUUGACGAAGGUUAAUCUGUCUCUACUUUAUUUUUUAGAAUUUAAUUUUUAUAGUGAAAAAGCUUGAAUUUUUUAAAGGGACGAGAAGACCCUAUUGAGCUUAUAAUUUUAUUACUAUUUCAUUAUUAUAUAGAUGAAAAGUAUAUAAAUUUUAAUUGGGGUGAUUAAGGAAUAAUUUAAUUAGUAACUUCCUUAUAUAUAAUUUUGUUGAAUGAAGUAACCAAUAUAGAUAUUGCUUAUAAUAUAGUUACCAUAGGGAUAACAGCGUAAUUUGUUUAGAGAGUUCUUAUUGAAAAACAAGAUUGCGACCUCGAUGUUGGAUUAAAGUAACCUUAAGGUGCAGAAGCUUUAUUAGGUAAAUCUGUUCGAUUUUUAAAACUUUACAUGAUC
This 519-nucleotide ribosomal RNA is filed under the name Onychoteuthis aff. compacta HEB-2018. RNAcentral's name for it is "partial 16S ribosomal RNA". It matches the Rfam family "Bacterial large subunit ribosomal RNA", at positions 1816 to 2605 of the family's 2925-position model. Lineage: Eukaryota; Metazoa; Mollusca; Cephalopoda; Oegopsida; Onychoteuthidae. The record is from RNAcentral.